AUUCGAAUAAGUUAACUAAUGUAAUCAUGUUAGUGUCUGGGCUGCAGGACAGAUUCUGACUUCUCUGUUGUUGCUACAAUUUGAACUUGAAAACGGUCCUUUUGAAUCUUAGACUCUCAUGAAAGUUUUAGGCCUAUGUCUUAGCUUUCCAUA
Molecule: non-coding RNA, 153 nt
Organism: Populus trichocarpa (black cottonwood)
Lineage: Eukaryota; Viridiplantae; Streptophyta; Magnoliopsida; Malpighiales; Salicaceae
Source: Rfam